Molecule: ribosomal RNA, 400 nt
Filed under: uncultured bacterium
Lineage: Bacteria
Description: bacterial SSU rRNA
Rfam family: Bacterial small subunit ribosomal RNA
Source: RNAcentral
GAAUAUUGGACAAUGGGCGCAAGCCUGAUCCAGCCAUGCCGCGUGAGUGAGGAAGGCCUUAGGGUUGUAAAGCUCUUUCACCGAUGAAGAUAAUGACGGUAGUCGGAGAAGAAGCCCCGGCUAACUUCGUGCCAGCAGCCGCGGUAAUACGAAGGGGGCUAGCGUUGUUCGGAUUUACUGGGCGUAAAGCGCACGUAGGCGGUUUGUUAAGUCAGGGGUGAAAUCCCAGAGCUCAACUCUGGAACUGCCUCUGAUACUGGCAAGCUAGAGUCCGGAAGAGGUAAGUGGAACUCCUAGUGUAGAGGUGGAAUUCGUAGAUAUUAGGAAGAACACCAGUGGCGAAGGCGGCUAACUGGUCCGGAACUGACGCUGAGGUGCGAAAGCGUGGGGAGCAAACAGG